This 492-nucleotide ribosomal RNA is filed under the name uncultured bacterium. RNAcentral's name for it is "partial 16S ribosomal RNA". It matches the Rfam family "Bacterial small subunit ribosomal RNA", at positions 29 to 507 of the family's 1533-position model. The record is from RNAcentral.
AGUGAACGCUGGCGGUAGGCCUAACACAUGCAAGUCGAACGGCAGCACAGUAAGAGCUUGCUCUUACGGGUGGCGAGUGGCGGACGUGAGAGGAAUACAUCGGAAUCUACUUUUUCGUGGGGGUUCAGGUAGGGAAACUUACGCUAAUACCGCAUACGACCUACGGGUGAAAGCAGGGGAUCUUCGGACCUUGCGCGAUUGAAUGAGCCGAUGUCGGAUUAGCUAGUUGGGGGGGUAAAGGCCCACCAAGGCGGCGAUCCGUAGCUGGUCUGAGAGGAUGGUCGGCCACACUGGAAGUGGGACAACGUCCAGACGCCUGCGGGACGCAGCAGUGGGGAAUGUUGGACAAUGGGCGCAAGCCUGAUCCAGCCAUACCGCGUGGGUGAAGAAGGCCUUCGGGUUGUAAAGCCCUUUUGUUGGGAAAGAAAAGCAGCAGGUUAAUACCCCGCUGUUCUGACGGUACCCAAAGAAUAAGCACCGGCUAACUUCGUG